CUGCACUUAUGUGGGUGGUUUCUUUCAGCUCUUCUGGUCCUCCUUUGAUGGCUGACUCCUGUCACUUAGGAUCAAGACACAAAUCUCAGUGACACCGGCAUAAACAAGCUGACAGGAGGAUACGGUUUAAGAAUUUACAAGAUUUCUAACUGCCAAUAGGCCAGACAUCCUCAGGCAAGCACCUUCUCUCCCUGUAGGCAAGGUCUUCUGACUGUGCAGUCCUGCCCACGCAUUCCAGCACGUAUGUCACACUCUGUCAUGAUGAGGAUGACUAUCAACAUUCACAUUAAAGAGCUCAUCAUUUAUUUUGCCAUGAGUUACCUGUUGCGUGGCUCACUCUUUCC
RNAcentral lists this long non-coding RNA (344 nucleotides) under Homo sapiens (human). RNAcentral's name for it is "HSALNT0078675". The record is from RNAcentral. Lineage: Eukaryota; Metazoa; Chordata; Mammalia; Primates; Hominidae.